GUAAUUUGGUUUUGACCAAAAUCAAUUUUAUAAAGUCACUUGAGUCAUUUCAACUUAAUAAAAUCCAUAUUGAAAUAAAACCUACCAAAAGUUUUAGUUUAGAAAAAUACUUUAAUUACCUGAUUUCGUAAAAAUCAAAAUUAUGUUUCUAGAUUUCGUAAAUAGCAUAUAAGGCCAAGUGCAUAAAGUCUACUCUCGUAUUUUUAUUUUGGACUGAAAAAGUAUUCCAAAAUGCACUAUUUAACUGCUAAGAAUUUUAUAAAUUUUACAGAAUUUAUUUGAGUCAGUUCAGAUGUCCAAAACAAUUCUAAAAAUUAAGACAGAAAACAAUAAAGGAACAAAAAGAUAAAAGAGGAACCAGCCAGGCCAGCUCAACACACGCAACGCACGCACUAGCUCGCGUGCGUGAGCAGCACAGCAGAUACGCAUCCGAACCAACCCGGAUAAAUCUCCCAAUUCCGUUCGAUUUCGUGCCUCAUCUCUCACGAAAAGUCCAUCUAUAAAUAUCCCACAAUCUGCUCUGUUUUUUGCCCAAAAAAUCUCGAAUUUGUGCGCCGCCAGGCUGCCAAAUUUGCUCGCCGGAGUUCCGAGCCGCCGCCUCCAUUGGAGCUCAAUUCCGAGACCACCGGAGAUGCCGUCCAACACCACCGGAGUUCACCGGAGUUCCGCCACCGUCCGCCGACUUCAGCCGCCCGUAACCACCACCUAGAGCCUGGCUGAACUACACCGAGAACACGAACUGACGGAAAUCGUCUGCUGCUUCACGUCCACGCCUUGCCCAUGUUGGAGAACUACCAGAACGCCGCCGUCGUCCACUGCCCGAGCAAACCAGCAGCACGGUCGGACAUCCUCAUAUGCUGCAACCACUGUAAGAUUGUACGGAGUGCAACGAGUGCGACUGCACCGAUUAUCUGAACAACACCGAAGGCAAGUGUCACACACUGUCUUGUCCUACUAUUUUUCUAUGCACUUUGUGUUAUUUUCGGUAGCUAUUCAUGUGCAGGAUUGUUUUAAAUAUACAUAUUGCUAUGCUAUGAUCACCUGUUAGAACAACCACAUGUUCAACACUUGUUCUUUGUCGCUACCGUAUUGUAGUAUGCUUAGCAUUGCUAUUGUAGAUGCGUGGUUGGGAUUUCAUGAUGUGAUAUGUGGUAUUAUGAAAGUAUGGUUUUAUGUAAUAAAACUACCUAAAAUAAUGAAUCAUCUGGGUGGAAGUGGUAAUGCUUGGUUUAUGUUGAGUGGUUGCACCGGGGUCAUUUCUAUGGCAGCACCGUGUGCAUCGCACUUGAGGUUGGCCACCCAGGAACAAAGAGAUUAGCCCGGUGUUCCUGUUUUAGUAGCUUCCAGUACAACCACAUGCUAUAUGGGCUCUGGCUAGAUUGAGUAGGUUGCGAGAACUCGACCCAAUGUACAGAGGGUGGUAGAAGUUGGUAGGACGGAGCGCGUCCAUUGUGGUUGAGGUAUUGCUUCUGAAAGGUCUUGUCCUAGUCGACAUCUGUCCAUUUGAGCAAAAUGCGCAUCAUGGAAUAAGAACAGACUAGGUCAUGUGGAGAAUGUGUACAGCCUCUCGAGAGUGUCAAACUAAGUACUUAGCCGUGUCCCCGGUUAUGGACAUUAUGAGCAACUAGAGUCUGGAACUGUUUGGAGGAUCUCAUCAUUCUAAUUUCUUAAUAAAACUUGAUGGGAUAAACAAUGGGUUUAGGAGCAUGCAAAGUUAUGUUGUCUUGUGUUUACAUGGGCCUAUGCUAGCAUGUCCGUAGAUGUUUAGGAGCAUGUGAAGCUAAUUGUCUUGCGACGGCAUGGGUUAUGCUAAUAUGUUCCUAGACGAUGUUUCUGAAAAAUAAAAAUUGUUUAUAAAAGAUAUGGAAACUAUCAGCCUUCUGGGGUCCACUUCAGUUUAUCUCCAGUCUGACCGUCCGCGACGCUACUGUUGUUCACGUCACUACCGCUACGACUGCGGGGGAGUGUUAGAGAUAUAUUUGGUUACGUACGGUUAGGGAUAGAUUAGGUAGGGAUAGAUUUGUUUCUUGUCUUCUACUCCAAGUCGGUCCCUUGUACUCCUAUAUAUACUCGCCCAUGAGGCGCAAUACAACAUCCAUCAUAUUCCGCCAAUCUCUCUCCCUCUCUAUCCUUCAACAUGGUAUCAGAGCGGCGCCGAUCCUAACCUAGCCGCCGCCCAAGCUUCCGCGCCGCGCCGCCCCCGGGGAGGUCGAUCUCCAUGAUCUACUCCGGGGGCCGCGCAACCCGUAUGAGGGUUCGUCCGCCGAUCCG
Long non-coding RNA from Lolium perenne, 2271 nucleotides. RefSeq lists it as uncharacterized. Lineage: Eukaryota; Viridiplantae; Streptophyta; Magnoliopsida; Poales; Poaceae. The record is from RefSeq and is a predicted model, not a curated record.